Molecule: ribosomal RNA, 349 nt
Filed under: uncultured bacterium
Lineage: Bacteria
Description: bacterial SSU rRNA
Rfam family: Bacterial small subunit ribosomal RNA
Source: RNAcentral
GGGCCCGCACAAGCGGUGGAGCAUGUGGUUUAAUUCGAUGCAACGCGAAGAACCUUACCUACUCUUGACAUCUACAGGAUCCUGCGGAGACGCAGGUGUGCCUUCGGGAGCUCUGAGACAGGUGCUGCAUGGCUGUCGUCAGCUCGUGUUGUGAAAUGUUGGUUAAGUCCCGCAACGAGCGCAACCCUUAUCCUUGUUUGCCAGCACGUAAUGGUGGGAACUCCAGGGAGACUGCCGGUGAUAAACCGGAGGAAGGUGGGGACGACGUCAAGUCAUCAUGGCCCUUACGAGUAGGGCUACACACGUGCUACAAUGGCGCAUACAGAGGGCAGCAAGUCGGAAUCGCUAG